CUUCUGAGUCAGUCCACGCUACACGUUGGUCACUGUGCUGGACAGCACCGUGUGUCGAAAUGCGACGGAAGUUAACGGCCAGCGUGUAUCUCCGGGGAAUCCACCGAUAUCCUUUCGAAGAGGCUCGAAUAACUCGAACCGAACACUUUCGUUAGAAAAUUUCUUCGGAAUAAACGUGGUGAAAUACAUUCAGUAGAGCACCGGUUGUCAUCGGACGAGGUGGCCGAGUGGUUAAGGCGUUGGACUGCUAAUCCAAUGUGCUCUGCACGCGUGGGUUCGAAUCCCAUCCUCGUCGAAUUCGCUUUUUGUUACUUUGCGAAAACAUUCUCUAGUUCAUAAGGUACGUAUGAUGGUGUAUAUAUGUAUGUACAUCUAGAGAAAGUUG
Molecule: long non-coding RNA, 385 nt
Organism: Frieseomelitta varia
Lineage: Eukaryota; Metazoa; Arthropoda; Insecta; Hymenoptera; Apidae
Exons: 2
Source: RefSeq, a predicted model, not a curated record